UGGCAAACUCACAUGAAUCCAGAUAAUAAAAGGGUCUUCCUUUCUUUGAGGGCUUCCUUCAAAAACCUUGGCCUGCGAUGGCCUGGAUUGCAGGAGUCCUAUGAUGUUGGCUAGUCGGUGUAAUUGUCGGGCUUUUCCCUUAAUCCAUUUAUGCCUGAGGUUGCAAUUUUUUGAAUUUUUGCAAUUAGACCUUGGCGAUGACCUUGAGCAGUAGGAUAUAAAUAACUCCCUUGUGUUUAGCAUUCCAGUAAUGGAACACUAGCCAUAAUAAACCGUUCCAAAAAUGCGUUCUAAUGGCUCUCAAGCAAGGUCCACUUGCAGUGAAAUAAACCAGAGGUUUGAAUCAUGGCUUGAUACGAAAUUAUUGGAAAGAAUAUGGCGAUGACAUCCACAAUGCCGGAUAAAGAAAAUAUUUAGAAGAUGAGAUUCCUGUGUUUCUGGCUUUCAUAACUUUUUAGAUUUCCUUUCUACUGGAAAACUUUUAACUUUGAAAACCGCAAGUAAUAUUUUUCUUCCUGAAACCUCUGCAGUGGUAGCAAUGCACUGAAGUUUGAUUAAAAGUUUACUGGUCAUUCCUGCCAUGAGAAGAUGAUAGAGAAUAUCACCACAGUGUGACUUGCUUCCAAGGCAGCAUGGUUUCAUGCAGAGGAUCUAAACUGGGGACCAUGUGCUGGGCUGCAAAAGGGCUGUGCAGUGCCUAAAAUGUUAUGCAAAAUUUUAUAAAGGUAGGUCAUGUAUUGCUCCAUUGAUGCUGCCCUUAUUCAUGAUGAUUAAAGCCUUUGGGAGGUAUUCCUUCAGAAUAAUUUGGUGUUGUUUUCUUCAGUCAAGAGGUCCACAGAGCUGUCUUUCAUUCUGUAGGUUUAUCAGCAACUGAUGCUUAAAACCUAUUAGGCACUGCAAAAAAAGAGUGCACACCUUCUACUUAUUAAAAAAAAAAACAAACUGUAAAACAGCAUCAUGCAGGUUCUUCAGGAGAGAUUCCAGAGGAAGGCAUUGUUGUGGUAGAAGAUGACAGUUCCACAGGUGUUACUAGCCAUGAAGAUCUUCCAGUGAGACAAGAUGUGGAGGUGGAAGACAGUGAUAUUGAUGAUUCUGAUCCUGUUGUUAUAAAUAAAGUUUCGGUUCCACAAAAGAAAUAGCACUUGAACAUAAAAUUUUCUUAUUUUCUUCACAGCAUGGCGGUUUACUUCUAAACUGC
Molecule: long non-coding RNA, 1198 nt
Filed under: Homo sapiens (human)
Lineage: Eukaryota; Metazoa; Chordata; Mammalia; Primates; Hominidae
Description: HSALNT0394358
Source: RNAcentral